Molecule: unclassified non-coding RNA, 102 nt
Organism: Colobus angolensis palliatus
Lineage: Eukaryota; Metazoa; Chordata; Mammalia; Primates; Cercopithecidae
Rfam family: Y RNA
About the family: Y RNAs are components of the Ro ribonucleoprotein particle (Ro RNP), in association with Ro60 and La proteins.
Source: Ensembl
GGCUGGUCUGAGUGCAGAGGUGUUGAUAACUAAUUCAUCACAAUCAGUUACAGAUUUCUUUGUUCCUUCUCCACUCACACUGCUUCACUUGACUAGCCUUUA